Clupea harengus (Atlantic herring) is the source of this 515-nucleotide long non-coding RNA. RefSeq lists it as uncharacterized. NCBI's taxonomy places the organism in Eukaryota, Metazoa, Chordata, Actinopteri, Clupeiformes, Clupeidae. The record is from RefSeq and is a predicted model, not a curated record. The transcript has 3 exons.
GGGGGGGUGUUGUGUGAGGGGUGGGGGUGGGGGGUAUCUUAGGUGCUCUACACACCCCCUGCAUUGCUGCUGGUGCCUGUGUCUCGUCACCACGGAGCACAUUCUGAGUAAAGGGCUCAGAUUUUAUUUUUGGACUGCUAUGGAGCCCGUCUCUUCCAUUUGUAGGAAGGGGGUAUAGUUGAGCCUGACAUGAGCCGCCUGCUCUGACACACCAGGCUGGGACACGCAGGCAGCAGCCGGCAGCCCCGCGAGCAGCAGUCUCACAGGAGACUGUCUAAAGUGUGCCAUCUGUCAUCUUAUACAAUCAUCAUCUGGUCGGUGGAGCCGCGUAAGAGCCCCACCCCGGGGAGGAUCGCCGGAGGGUUGAUUUACAGGGCAGUGAAAGUGAUGCAGAGUGGGCAGGAACUGAGCGCCAUGACACGGAGAGAGUGAGCAGCUCUUCUUCUCCUGGCGCUCCACCUAAAAUUAGGCCCAGGGACCCAGCAGCCCCGGCCUCCCCCCGACUCUAACCCCAG